AUGCCUGCUGCUGUUGGGAAGGUUUGGGCCCCUCCGAAAUGCAAGUUUUUUGCUUGGUUGAUAAUUCAAAACAGAGUAUGGACGGCCGAUCGAUUGCUCCGUCGUGGUUGGCCGAAUUGCAACCUUUGCCCGCUUUGCAAGCAAGUCCAGAAAACUGCGGCGCAUCUUCUCUUCCAGUGUAGGUUCUCCCAGCGUGUUUGGGUUGAGGUUGCUUUGUGGAUUGGCCUACAUGGUGAUGUGGCGAGGAGCUGGAGAUUUGAGGCUUCAGUUCGAGAUUGGUGGAUUAAAAAUGUGAUCGAGCGCGGAAACCAGAGAAAGGCUAUCGCCUCCUUAUUCAUGCUUAUGUCUUGGGAGAUUUGAAAAGAGCGCAAUGCAAGGGUCUUUCGCAACACUGCCGCUACAAGCGUGAUGGUCGUCGCGAAGAUCAAAGAGGAGGCCCAUCUUUGGGCUAUGGCAGGUGCCACCCACUUGAGUAUUGUAAUGCCGCGAGAGUAG
Molecule: ribosomal RNA, 495 nt
Filed under: Triticum aestivum (bread wheat)
Lineage: Eukaryota; Viridiplantae; Streptophyta; Magnoliopsida; Poales; Poaceae
Description: partial small subunit ribosomal RNA
Source: RNAcentral